GGAUGGCGGCGCUGCGGGAAGUGGUCUUGAAAACCGUUGUGGCAGCGAUGUCACCGUGGGUUCAAAUCCCACAGCCUCCG
This 80-nucleotide transfer RNA is filed under the name Actinacidiphila bryophytorum. RNAcentral's name for it is "Streptomyces bryophytorum tRNA-OTHER". Lineage: Bacteria; Bacillati; Actinomycetota; Actinomycetes; Kitasatosporales; Streptomycetaceae. The record is from RNAcentral.